AAAAGCUGAUCUGCUCUGGGUAAGUCGGGGCCUAAGGCCAGGUCGAAAGACGUAACCGAUGGACAACAGGUUGAAAUUCCUGUACCUUAAGUAAACAGAACUGUGGGGACACGUGUGGAGAGCACAAGCCGGAAAUGGAAAAGCCGGUGCAAGCGAGGUAGGAGAUGAACAGGCAAAUCCGUUCAUCAAUCCGAAGACGUGAUGCGGACCGAAUUAAGAGUAGGGAAGUGUGUGAGCCAUGCGUCAAGAAAAGCCGCUAUUGUUUUACUUAAGCCCGUACCGUAAACCGACACAGGUGGAUGAGGAGAGAAUCCUAAGGCCGACGGGAGAAGCAUUGUUAAGGAACUCGGCAAAAUGACUCCGUAACUUCGGGAGAAGGAGUGCCAGCGAGAGCUGGCCGCAGAGAAUUGGCCCAAGCAACUGUUUAGCAAAAACACAGGUCUAUGCAAAACCGUAAGGUGAAGUAUAUGGGCUGACGCCUGCCCGGUGCUGGAAGGUUAAGAGGAGAGGUUAGCGGUAACGCGAAGCUUUGAAUUUAAGCCCCAGUAAACGGCGGCCGUAACAAUAACGGUCCUAAGGUAGCGAAAUUCCUUGUCGGGUAAGUUCCGACCCGCACGAAAGGCGUAGUGAUUUGGGCACUGUCUCAACAAUGCACCCGGUGAAAUUGAAAUACCAGUGAAGAUGCUGGUUACCUGCGCCAGGACGGAAAGACCCCAUGGAGCUUUACUCCAGCUUGAUACUGGGAUUCGGUAUUGCAUGUACAGGAUAGGUGGGAGGCUAGGAAGUGAUAACGCCAAUUGUCACGGAGCCGCUGUUGGGAUACCACCCUUGCAGUAUUGGAUUUCUAACCAGCGACCAUGAACUGGUCGGGGGACAAUGUCAGGUGGGGAGUUUGACUGGGGCGGUCGCCUCCGAAAGGGUAUCGGAGGCGCUCAAAGGUUCCCUCAGAAUGGACGGAAACCAUUCGAAGAGUGCAAAGGCAGAAGGGAGCUUGACUGCGACACCGACGGGUGGAGCAGGUACGAAAGUAGGACUUAGUGAUCCGGUGGUAUAAAGUGGGAUUGCCAUCGCUCAACGGAUAAAAGCUACCCUGGGAUAACAGGCUUAUCACUCCCAAGAGUUCACAUCGACGGAGUGGUUUGGCACCUCGAUGUCGGCUCAUCGCAUCCUGGGGCUGAAGUAGGUCCCAAGGGUUGGGCUGUUCGCCCAUUAAAGCGGUACGCGAGCUGGGUUCAGAACGUCGUGAGACAGUUCGGUCCCUAUCCGGCGUGGGCGUAGGAUAUUUGAGAGGAGCUGUCCUUAGUACGAGAGGACCGGGAUGGACUGGCCGCUGGUGUAUCUGUUGCAUACCAAAUGCAUGGCAGAGUAGCCAAGCCGGGACGGGAUAAACGCUGAAGGCAUCUAAGCGUGAAGCCCCCCUCAAGAUGAGAUAUCCCUACGUAAGUAGUAAGACCCCUUGAAGACGACGAGGUAGAUAGGUCAGAGGUGGAAGUACAGUAAUGUAUGGAGCUGACUGAUACUAAUCGGUCGAGGGCAUGACC
RNAcentral lists this ribosomal RNA (1541 nucleotides) under metagenome. Its description in RNAcentral is "bacterial LSU rRNA". It matches the Rfam family "Bacterial large subunit ribosomal RNA", at positions 1360 to 2925 of the family's 2925-position model. The record is from RNAcentral.